This 73-nucleotide transfer RNA is filed under the name Oikopleura dioica. It matches the Rfam family "tRNA". From Rfam's summary of the family: Transfer RNA (tRNA) molecules are approximately 80 nucleotides in length. The record is from Rfam by way of RNAcentral. Lineage: Eukaryota; Metazoa; Chordata; Appendicularia; Copelata; Oikopleuridae.
GUUCUUGUAGUGUAGUGGUUAUCACGUUCGCUUCACACGCGAAAGGUCUCCGGUUCGAACCCGGACAGGAACA